Xenia sp. Carnegie-2017 is the source of this 1742-nucleotide RNA transcript. It is a transcript of the gene named GATOR complex protein NPRL2-like, with no coding region annotated. NCBI's taxonomy places the organism in Eukaryota, Metazoa, Cnidaria, Anthozoa, Malacalcyonacea, Xeniidae. The record is from RefSeq and is a predicted model, not a curated record. The transcript is spliced from 12 exons.
UUUGAGUUGUGUGAGAAAGAAAACAUUGCCAAAAGUUUUAUUAUCUUUGUUGAAUGCUUUCUUUAGUGUUUUUACACAUUGUACUUAAAACACAUGGCGAUUAAUAUAAAAGCGAUUAUGUUCUGCGAGUUUCACCCAAUUGCUGGACCUAAGAUUGUCUACCAGGUGCCAGAAGACUUCAUUUCAAAGGAGUCAUUUGAUUGUAUUGCAGUCUACAUAAUAACCAAGCCUGAAUUGCAAAGCAAAGUCAUUACUGUAAAUGCAUUUGGUGACAAGUUUAUUGGUUAUCCAGUGUGUAUAACCAAUGCAAAGUAUUCUCGCAAUGCGCUUCUAUUCAAUGUUUGUUUUGUUCUGGAUGAGUCUGCAGAAGUUCAAGCCUUUCAACCUGUAGUGAAGAAGCUCGCAGCAUAUCUUACAUCACUUGAGCUGGAAAAUGGGUUUAUAUCUGAAGAAGACAGCAAGAAAAGAAUUCCUGCAAUUCUCACUACUAUCUUGCAUGGUCUCAAUGAAGAAAGAAAAUGCAUUAUUCCCAUAAAUGCGGUGACAACGAUCUAUCUUCAUUUGUCAAUGACUAAAGAUGACCAGCCUGAAGUGUUUAAUCAUCAUGUUCCUAUAUUUCUAUGGGACAGCUCAAUCAUUACUGCUGCUCAAUGGGAUAUAACCACUCAACAGAUUUUACCUUACAUAGACGGCUUUCAGCAUAUAAAGAAGAUAGCAGCUCAAGCGGAUGUUGAUAUAAAUUUGGUCAGACUUUGUAUUCAGAAUAUGGUUCAUUUCCAAGUUGUGACAUUGAUUUCAAUUUUUCAGUACUCCAACGUGUACAUUCCAACUCCGAAGAUAAACAAUUUAUUUCAAGACAAGCAACUACAAGAGGAAUGCACGAAUUAUGUUGCUAGGAAAUUUCGCCGUCCUCCAUUGUUUCGUGACGUAUUUCAGUUAUAUUCUGGGCUCAGUGCUGGUGCAACCGUGCGAGACCUUUGUUCGAGAUACAACCCGGCGUUUCUACGCAUCGACGAACGAUGUUUGAUUCAGUUCGGUUUGAUGAAAGGUUUCAUACGUCGUUUACACAAAUUUCCGGUACUUUUGAAACCAGAUGAUGGCAUGCAAGCUUCGCAAAAUGAACGUCUAGCAAGAUGGUUGAAUGGAAGCCAUAAUUAUGACGAAAUCUGUACCGAAACUGGCAUGAGUCACCAAAAAUUGGACGAAAUCAUUGAAAACCACCCUAACAUCACCGUUAUUUGGAAAUGAGAGAAGGGUGAAUACCGCUGACAAAGUCGGUCGUGGCGUCCAGCAUUCUAGAAUGGCGCUUUCCUUGAUGAAAAAAUAAGAACGCAAAUUCAACCUUGUAUUUUGGUAGUGGAUGACCUUUAUCAAAGUGACACUAUAUAUGUGGUGGCAGAAGGAAUAGUUUUGUGCCAUGUAACAACCAAAAAGAUUGGCGAUGCUCUUGUUGCUUUGUUGGCCACGUACUAUAUGUACAAUAUAAAAUACAUUGAGGGCAAGAAUGUCUAUAGCUUUCUUGACAUGGCAUUAUUGGGAAUUAUCCCAGAGAAGUGUCCAUCUUCUGUGAAAAGUUUAGUUGGAGUGUUAUCAAAUGUGUUCAACUAAUCAUGAAUGCACAUGGUUAUAUAGAUUAUGUUUUAUUUCAAUUCUUUUUUGUGAAGUUUAAUUUGAGUGAGAUGAAAAUAUGUGCACGUAAAGUAUUUUAAUGAAGAUGUUAAGCACUUAUGUGCUUACGUAUA